UGGAGAAUAUUGGACAAUGGGCGAAAGCCUGAUCCAGCCAUGCCGCGUGUGUGAAGAAGGUCUUCGGAUUGUAAAGCACUUUAAGUUGGGAGGAAGGGCAGUAAGCGAAUACCUUGCUGUUUUGACGUUACCGACAGAAUCAGCACCGGCUAACUCUGUGCCAGCAGCCGCGGUAAUACAGAGAGUGCAAGCGUUAAUCGGAAUUACUGGGCGUAAAGCGCGCGUAGGUGGUUCGUUAAGUUGAAUGUGAAAGCCCCGGGCUCAACCUGGGAACGGCAUCCAAAACUGGCGAGCUAGAGUAGGGCAGAGGGUGGUGGAAUUUCCUGUGUGGCGGUGAAAUGCGUAGAUAUAGGAAUGAACACCAGUGGCGAAGGCGACCACCUGGGCUCAUACUGACACUGAGGUGCGAAAGCGUGGGGAGCAAACAGG
This 429-nucleotide ribosomal RNA is filed under the name Pseudomonadota bacterium. RNAcentral's name for it is "Proteobacteria bacterium partial 16S ribosomal RNA". It matches the Rfam family "Bacterial small subunit ribosomal RNA", at positions 355 to 776 of the family's 1533-position model. Lineage: Bacteria; Pseudomonadati; Pseudomonadota. The record is from RNAcentral.